ACGCUCGACACCUACGGGAGGCAGCAGUCGGGAAUAUUGCGCAAUGGAGGAAACUCUGACGCAGUGACGCCGCGUAUAGGAAGAAGGUUUUCGGAUUGUAAACUAUUGUCGUUAGGGAAGAAAAAGGACAGUACCUAAGGAGGAAGCUCCGGCUAACUACGUGACAGCAGCCGCGGUAAUCUGAGCGGGCUGGCAAGGC
RNAcentral lists this ribosomal RNA (199 nucleotides) under uncultured bacterium. RNAcentral's name for it is "partial 16S ribosomal RNA". It matches the Rfam family "Bacterial small subunit ribosomal RNA", at positions 328 to 539 of the family's 1533-position model. The record is from RNAcentral.